Molecule: long non-coding RNA, 4005 nt
Organism: Harpia harpyja (harpy eagle)
Lineage: Eukaryota; Metazoa; Chordata; Aves; Accipitriformes; Accipitridae
Exons: 3
Source: RefSeq, a predicted model, not a curated record
CACACCCAGUUGCAUGGUGGGAGUUUGCACCAACUUUUUGUAUGUCUCAUCGCAUGGGUACUGCAGACAAGUUUUGCAUGUGGGUUUUUGCAUGCCUGGUUGCAUGGGAUGGGAGGUUGCAUCUGGGGUGUUGCAUGGAUGAUUGUGCAGGAGGGGUUGCAUGCCCAGUUGAGCACAGGUUUGCACUCCCUGGGGUUAUACCCUCUCCUGGAGGCUCUGAAGGCAGGCAGGACAUGGAGGCAGGCACUUUUCCAGCUUCACUCUUCCUGGCAGACCUGUUCUGGUGCAUCCUCCGCAUGUGCGGUCACUGCAGGCAAGCUCACUGCAAGGCAGGCCAGAGGUUGGCUGAAUGCUCCAGUUGAAAUUUGGAUACUGUUGGCUUUGGGCCUUCAGCUGUCAAUGCCCCGUUAGCGUCUCCCCACCAAUGGCUGCGUGGGCCUUGCGGUUAAAAUUGCAAAAAAAGCCACAAAUUAAGGAUCUGAAAACUCCUCCAAUAGGGAGACACACAGGGGAUGAUGUGAUGUGAAAGCAAAACUGCAGGCAAAACCCGCUGGGUCCUGCCAGCUCUGGCCAAAUCUUGGUCUGGGCUUCCCACAACCCUGCCAUAGCUGAGAAGAAGCUGCUGUUGUUGCUGUUACUUUGCAUUAUAUUUUGUUGAUAUGCACAAAGGCAGCUUUGCAAACAUACAUGAUAUAUAGGGGAAGGUAGAUGUGUGAGCAAACAGCUCUGUAAUAGCGUAAUUCUUUAAUUUUGAGGCAGCUCUGGGUGGAUAUAUAUGGUUCAUAUACAUCUGGAAGCAUGGAAAACAUUUUUGCUACUUAAAUAAUAUUUCUAUAUUUAAAAUAUGGAAAAUACAGAAUCCAGUGGCUGCUGAAUCAUGCCUGUAAGCCCCCAACAUCCUUAAUGGUAAGUACAGGCAGGAGUGCUUUGCCAGCCUGGAAGUGUUAGUUCCUCCUAGACAAGAAAUUCCAAAUAUUUAUAUGUUGAUUCUUUUAACUUUGAGACACAAAUAGCCAGAGACAUUUUGGCAACUCUGUGACAGAACACAAAAAAAAAAAACAAACCCAAAAAAACAACAUAGGAAUCUCUGCGGGUCUUUUCUGCUUUGUGUAAACUGAGCAGAGAAAAUAUUUCCUGUUUCAGGAUCAGAUAGUGAGUAGUGAGAGCUCAGCCAGCCUGUUUCUCUGGUUAUUUGAGAAGGGGUUAAAAAUAGGGUCAAAAUGACCUAAUCUUGUCAAUUCGGUGCCAUAUUUGGUUGGGAAGGUAUUGUAUUUUAGGGGAUCUCGAAUACAAAGUCACCCCCUGAUGUAGGAAAAAUAAGGGGUGGGUUUGCUGAAGGGGAGAAUCCAUCACAACGCUGCGUGUGGUACUGAGGGCAGAGCAUGGCUUUGUCUGAAAUGGAAAUUUAUUGGUCAUAGCUGAUACUGAAGUGAUUAAAAAUACACAUUUGGAAAUAAAAAUUUACUGGGGGAGUUGGGGCAGGGUUUAAGACUGGCAAUAUUCUGUCAUUGCAGAAUUGUACUUAUUGCUUACUUCACCUAUAUUGGGGGGUUUACACCAGGUCCACGAUCCUCCAGGAUUGGCAUUCCGCACAUCAGGAUCAAUUUCAUUUCAAAUUUAUUGUCUGCUUUUGAACAGCAGCAGAAAAAAGCAUUUCAGGGUAAAAGCUGAACCUACGAAGGAUCUCUAACGUUGCUGCUCAGCCAGGAAAAAAAAAGGAGUGUAUUCAGUCAGACAGUGGAACAAAUAUUCGGCAGCCCCCAGGCCAGACACUGGCCUUGCACCUCGUCUCUGCCAGUUUGCUCCAGGAGUCCUGGUCUGAGAGGCGUGAAGUAAAUGGAAGAAAAAUGGGAGAGUUAAGCAAUAAAAGGAGGAUUAUGGGGUGGGGUUUUUUUGUUUGUUUGUUUCUGAUCCAGUUGCUCCAUGUGGUGACGAUGGGAAUGGUUUGUGUUCUCAGUGUCAGGGCUUUAAGGAUCUGACGUAAGGUUGGUAUUGGUGGACUACCAGGACAGAGUGAAGGCAGUAACUUAGGAAUAAUAAAUACAGGAGACCAGCCCCAGCCCUCAUCAGUAAUUGUAUAAAUGUGCACAAAUUCAUCUUAACAAGUCUCUAAAAAAAGGGGGUUGUGAACCCCAGGGCCAGUCACCUCCUUGCGGGCCCCAUGGAGGGUGGCUUCGAGCUGCUCUUCCGUAGCUCUGUGGUUUUGUGCCCAUCGCUGGUGGUUUUGGGGGUGAAACCAGGGCACUGCUAACCACCCACACCCCCCCGGGGUUGCUCCUGUACAAGUGCUGUGCAAAAAGCAGGAUCACAAAGAUCUGGAGUGAGAAACAAGCCCUAAAAACACCCCAGCCCCCUCUCCCCCCCUGCCCUGCUCUGUUUUGUUCUUUUUGCAUCCAUGAGGUCGCAGGGGCUGGAAUCACCUUCUGAGGCUGGACCACAUUAAAUGCAUCCAAAAACUGCAGUUACCCCCCCACCGCGGGAUAGCAGAAGGUGAGCAGUUUUGCAUCAAACCUUGCUCUGGGAUUCCGCUGCGCUCUCGCAAAGCCCCCAUGGGAUGCAGCUCCCCCGGGAUGUCAGGCUAAGAUGAGGUGCAGCAGAAUUUGUUUCUCAGAAGAGUUUGAUAAAGCCCUGCUAGAAAACACCAGAGCCCUUGAGAGACCUGCUGCUUGCUUCUUGCCUGACAAUAACUAGGAAAGUUUGCAAACCCAGAGGGAAAUCCUCUUUGUGUUAAAGCAGCUUAUCCCAUGGAGGUUUGCUGGGAGAGCUGGGUGGCCGUUGGCAGAGCCGAGGGGCGGGCGGGCAUCACAUGGGCAGUGAAAAAAGGGGUAAAUCUGGGAAAGCAACUUGUGAAAGCAUCCGGACGCAGUGUGGGAGGGUGGCUUCACCCCCAGCUUCGGGUGCGGACUGAGGACAAACGCUCGACUUUACCGUCAGAAAGAGCCCCGGGUGAGAUCUUGGUUUUCCUAUUAGAAACGCAGGCAUGCCUUUCCAAAGAAAAAGAAUUAAAAUAACACCUUAAACUCUUAAUAUUUUCACUGAUACAAGUGCACCUGCUCACUUUUAGUAUCACAUGCAAGACUGCAGGUCCCGUAACAGAAAACCUGAGAUUUUCCCCCGGUUGGAGCUCCCUGGCUUGGACCUGGAGCGUUGGGCGUGGCCAAGGAUGGUCCAGCUGGAGCAGAGCCUGGCCACACAAACCGAUGCUUUUCCUACCACUUGCAGGAAGGUGGAUUUAGUGUUGCAAGAAAAAAAGAGCAUUUAUAAACUAAAGAGAUUUUGGUGAAUAAUAGCAGCUUUGGGAAAGUGGGUUGAGAAUCAAAACGCUGUGUGUUCAGGAGUUAUUUUCUGGAGCUCUCCUAGGCAAAGCUCAGCAUUUUUUAUCAAAUUUAUAGCAGCGAGGAGCCAGGAGGUGGCACUGGCUGGCAGCGCAUUUGGGUCUCGCUCCCUUCAGCAGCUCCUGUCCCUGGUUCAGAGCCUCUUGGCUUCCCCAGAAAAUAAAAUACUUAUAUUUUUCAAGGUUAGGAGCCUAGAUAACCUCACAAGCCGGGGUGCGAAGACGGCAGGACGGACUGGUGAUGGCACCAUCUGUGGCAUCGCUGCUCUGUGGGUGUAGAGGAGAUGGAUGGGUUUAGGUUGUACCCGCUCCAGCAGUUCGGGGAAUUUCCGCUUGGGGUUUUGAGGGCGAGUUUGAGGGACCUUGAAGGUCUGUGGACCUGGGGGCCGUGUGGACGUGACCACUGUGAGGUCUGCCUCUUGGGUUGACUCAACCUCCGUUGACUUGUGGGAGCUCCAAGACCAUGGAGGAGCACCUGGAUCAGCUGGGCCAAGAGGAGCCUUAGAAACUCUCAUUUCCUGACCAACAAAACCCGUUGCUGGCACAGUUUGUUCUGCGUGGGGAGCUGGUGGGGGCUGUAUCAGUUGGAGGGGUGUUUUUUUUUGUCCAGCUUGUCAUUGCACUGCGGAUAGUGCUGGUGUUUCUAGAAAAUAAAUGGUAUUAAGAGCAAU